Molecule: ribosomal RNA, 523 nt
Filed under: Mycolicibacterium cosmeticum
Lineage: Bacteria; Bacillati; Actinomycetota; Actinomycetes; Mycobacteriales; Mycobacteriaceae
Description: bacterial SSU rRNA
Rfam family: Bacterial small subunit ribosomal RNA
Source: RNAcentral
CUGAUGCAGCGACGCCGCGUGAGGGAUGACGGCCUUCGGGUUGUAAACCUCUUUCAGCACAGACGAAGCGCAAGUGACGGUAUGUGCAGAAGAAGGACCGGCCAACUACGUGCCAGCCGCCGCGGUAAUACGUAGGGUCCGAGCGUUGUCCGGAAUUACUGGGCGUAAAGAGCUCGUAGGUGGUUUGUCGCGUUGUUCGUGAAAACUCACAGCUUAACUGUGGGCGUGCGGGCGAUACGGGCAGACUGGAGUACUGCAGGGGAGACUGGAAUUCCUGGUGUAGCGGUGGAAUGCGCAGAUAUCAGGAGGAACACCGGUGGCGAAGGCGGGUCUCUGGGCAGUAACUGACGCUGAGGAGCGAAAGCGUGGGGAGCGAACAGGAUUAGAUACCCUGGUAGUCCACGCCGUAAACGGUGGGUACUAGGUGUGGGUUUCCUUCCUUGGGAUCCGUGCCGUAGCUAACGCAUUAAGUACCCCGCCUGGGGAGUACGGCCGCAAGGCUAAAACUCAAAUGAAUUGACGG